This is a non-coding RNA of Acanthosepion pharaonis, 115 nucleotides long. Lineage: Eukaryota; Metazoa; Mollusca; Cephalopoda; Sepiida; Sepiidae. The record is from the annotation of a GenBank genome assembly.
CUUGCGGUCAUAUUGCGUUGAAAUACCGGUUCUCGUAAGAGCAGCGCAGUUAAGCAACGUCGAGCCUGGCCCGUAUUUAGAUGAGCGACCGUUUCGGAAUAUCAGGUGAUGUAAG